AGUGUUACGCCGGAUGAACGGAAAUCAUUGAUGUUGAUUAAUAUGGGAUUAUGUUAGUAUCUCUAACACUA
Molecule: transfer RNA, 71 nt
Filed under: Tonna galea
Lineage: Eukaryota; Metazoa; Mollusca; Gastropoda; Littorinimorpha; Tonnidae
Description: tRNA-Ile
Source: RNAcentral